GUGAUGAAUUUAAUUUUUUUUUGAAAGUUGGAUGAUAUUGACCAUAGACAAACCAGAAAAUAUCGAGUUUCAUUUUUGGUGUAUGAUACUUACCGUAGACUUAACAAAAAAUACCAAAUUUUAUUAAUGCAGACUCGAAUCUUUUAUGAUUACCUACGUACCCGGAUCUCGGAACCAUGAUUACCUACGUACCCGGAUCUCGUAACCAAAGUCAGCGUAGUUCAACAUUGAUAAAUUUAGUCUGGUUUUGUAUUUCAUUAACACCCUGGUGCACGAGUUGAAUACUUUUGAAAGUUUG
RNAcentral lists this long non-coding RNA (298 nucleotides) under Linum usitatissimum (flax). Its description in RNAcentral is "long non-coding RNA (LUSI_LNC004454)". The record is from RNAcentral. Lineage: Eukaryota; Viridiplantae; Streptophyta; Magnoliopsida; Malpighiales; Linaceae.